GAAGGUGUAUCUAGAAAGACAAAUUAGAGCUUGAAAAGUAAAGCAUUUCAUUUACAUUGAAAAGUAUAUUGUGUAAUUCAAUUUAAUUUGAUAAUAAAAAUUUAUUAAUUUUUUUUUGUUUAAAAAUUUAUUUAAUAAAAUUAAUUUUAAAUUAAGUUUUUUUUUGUAUAAUAUAUAGAUCAAAUAAUUUAUAUAAUAGUUAAUUAGUAUUGUAAAAGAGUAUUGAAAUAUUUGAAAAAGUUUUAAAUUAAAAGUAGAUUUUAUAUAUUGUACCUUGUGUAUCAGGGUUUAUUAAUUAAAAGUUAAAAAUAUUUAAUUUUUCUCGAAUUUAAGAGGGUUAAUUUAUUAUUUAAUUUUUUGUUUCAUAAAAAUUUAAAAUAAUAAAUUAGAAAUGAAAUGUUAUUCGUUCUUAAAGAUAUCUAGUUUUUUAAGAAAUAAAUUAAAUUUAGAUUAUUAAUAAAUAAUUGUUUAUUUAAAUAAUAAAUUAUUAUUAAUAAUUAAUAUUUUAAGGGAUAAGCUUUAAAGUAAGUUUUAUAAUAAUUUUUUAAUUUAAAAAUUAUAGAUUUAGAAAUAGUCAUUAAUUAUAAAAAUGUUAUAAUUUAUUUUAAAUUAAAAAUAAUUUUUAUUAAUUUAAGUUUUUAUUAAAAUAAUUUUUAAAAUUAUAUAAAAAUUAAAAUAAUGAUAAAAUUAGUAUAUUUUAAUUGUUUAAAAUAAAUAAAUUGAAAGGUUAAAUUAAGGAACUUGGCAAAUAAAUACUCGCCUGUUUAACAAAAACAUGUCUUUUUGAAUAUAAUUUAAAGUCUAAUCUGCCCACUGAAAAAUUUUAAAGGGCCGCGGUAUU
This 841-nucleotide ribosomal RNA is filed under the name Panorpodes paradoxus. Its description in RNAcentral is "partial 16S rRNA". The record is from RNAcentral. Lineage: Eukaryota; Metazoa; Arthropoda; Insecta; Mecoptera; Panorpodidae.